Molecule: signal recognition particle RNA, 315 nt
Filed under: Thermoplasmata archaeon HGW-Thermoplasmata-1
Lineage: Archaea; Methanobacteriati; Thermoplasmatota; Thermoplasmata
Description: signal recognition particle sRNA
Rfam family: Archaeal signal recognition particle RNA
Source: RNAcentral
GGUCCGGAAUAGGCCGGGGGGUCAGGCGUCCCCUACAACCGGAAACCGUCUUAGCCGGGGCCGAAAGGGAGUGGGCGGCACAACGACCAUUCGAGCGAUCCGCGGGCCUGCUAUGAAGCCUCGUCUCUUAGGGUUGGAGGUGGAAAAGGGUCCUGCCGGAAGGCAGAAUCCGUUCCUUGAAUGCGGGAACCGGGCCAGGCACGGAAGUGAGCAGCCUUACCGCUAACUGCCGACGCUUAAGGGGCUGCGGGGCCGAGAAACCCGCGGGCCAAUCGCUAGAACGGCACGUAUGUCCACCGCUUCCACGUCCGGACC